AAAACAAAAGGUUUUAACUAUUGACAUGAAAGGUCUUGAAUGUGUGAACACAGUGAAAAAUUUCUCGUAUGAUACGAAAAAUAAAUGUUGUUAUGUGGAGCUGAUUGGGUUCGGGUAUUUCAUGGUUUGAAAAAACCAUCAACUGGAGAAGAACCAACUUAUAAGGAGAUUUUACUGUUUUGACGUGAAUUGCU
Long non-coding RNA from Juglans microcarpa x Juglans regia, 194 nucleotides. RefSeq lists it as uncharacterized. The record is from RefSeq and is a predicted model, not a curated record. Lineage: Eukaryota; Viridiplantae; Streptophyta; Magnoliopsida; Fagales; Juglandaceae. The transcript is spliced from 3 exons.